Molecule: transfer RNA, 69 nt
Filed under: Marmota monax (woodchuck)
Lineage: Eukaryota; Metazoa; Chordata; Mammalia; Rodentia; Sciuridae
Description: tRNA.Leu
Source: RNAcentral
GGUGCUGGGGCUCAGUGGUAGAGUGCUUGCCUCAAGUGUGUGAGGCACUUGGUUCCAUCCUCAGCACCC